AUGGCCGUGAACGACACCAAGCUGGCCGACGCCGAGAACCCGGGCGCGAUGUGCCGCGGCGGCGGCGGCGGCAUCGACUCCGACUCCGACGUGGACUUCGCGGGCCGCGCCAACUGGCUGCGCGCGGCGGUGCUGGGCGCCAACGACGGGCUGGUGUCCACCGCGUCGCUGAUGCUGGGCGUGGGCGCGGUGAAGCACGAGGUGCGGGCCAUGGUGAUCUCCGGGUUCGCGGGCCUGCUGGCGGGGGUCUGCAGCAUGGCCAUCGGGGAGUUCGUGUCCGUCUGCUCCCAGCGCGACGUGGAGAUCGCGCAGCUCGACCGCGACGGCAAGCGCGGCGGCGACGAGGAGAGGGCGCUGCCCAGCCCCGUCCAGGCCGCGGCGGCCUCGGCCCUCGCCUUCUCCGUCGGCGCCCUCCUGCCGCUGCUGGCGGCGGGCUUCAUCGUCGGGUACAAGCUGCGGGUGGCCGUGGUGGUGGCCGUGGCGACGCUGGCGCUGGCGGCGUUCGGGGUCGUCGGCGCCGUGCUGGGGAGGGCGCCCGUGGUGAGUACUUUUUGUGAGGAUCAAAGUGAGGCCAUGGCUGCCAGGGACGGCAAGAUCGGCGAGAGGAUGGAGGUGGAGGAGGACAAAACUUCCAUUGAGUCCAUGGCGGCCAGAGGCGGGCAUGUGGAUGCAGAGAUGACGGAAUUCAAGUAUGGCGAGGUUGCGGACGAGGAGCUUCACAAGGACAAGAUGAACGGAGGCAAAUCAAAUCAGCAGAUCAAGAACAAGACGACCCCGGAGGAGAACGGAGGCAAGGAAGCAGAUGGAGGAUUAUCAGGAGGCCUAGUGAGCCCCAUGCACUUUACACACUACACACCCAGACAGGUGACAUCCGAUUAUACUACUCGUGGGAUCACCUUGCAGAUCUUCUCCUUCAAGAUUGCCAACAUCAGUUUGGACCUGGAAUGGCCACUCCUGCAAUGGCCACUCAAAGUGUACGGCGUCGUCGCCGCACGAGACAAUGUGGAUCGCAAGCGCAACGUUCUCUUCCACCGGCAAAGGGACAACUUCCAAGAGAUCACCCAAGAAGACCCCUUUCUGUGCUUGACUGGCCCAUCUCGUGCAAUCUCAGCCGAAUCCCCUCUUGAGUUUGAAGUCCAACUAAAACUCAAGGGCGGCCACGCAGAGUCUGAAGACAGCGUGCUGAUCAAUAGAAAAGGCCAUUUCGGUGGUUACCAUACCGAUAAUGGUUUAUAUACUGUCACCUUUGACAACUGUCUUUGCACAGCCGAGUUAAGCCUGCAGAAACUGUAUCGUGGAGCAGUACAAGCCACUUUCUUGCGUGUCGGCAUUGUUAAAGGCAGUCAAAGCCCUUUCAGUUAUGGAGGCAGAGUUGCUUGCUCCUCACCACCUCAGGAAGAUGUGGUAAGGGGUAGUGAAGGCCCUGCCGCUCCCACCCAAGUUGUGUUGCUUGAUUCUCGUUAUUGUGCUGGUGGGAAGAUGCCAAUAGGCGAAGAAGAUGGUUACCUCGAUCUGUCAAGGCAUGUUGUUUCUCUCGAAUUACGGACAGUGAGUGAAGAUUCUGAAGAAUUGGAAGAAACCCUGAAAGUUGUCGUAGAAGCCUACUCUCCUGGUGGUUCUGUGCAAGCUGCUGUCAUGGUCAGGCCUCAAUACUGCGGCAUAAGUAAACAUAAAUGUGACCUCAACGGCUCUAAGAACAUUAUGAGAGAAGAAUUCUAUGAAGCCACCCUCGGUGAGACAUGGAUCCGGGUCGGUUCCGUCACCGUCACAGUCGGGAAAGAUGCCCUGCCACUCCUCGACGUCGAACUCCUCCUACUCGCUGCCCUCCUCGCCGCCUUGUACCUCGUCGGGGGAGAUGACGAUGACAUCCCUGGCAUUGUCGGUGAAUAUUGCCCGCUCUGCCUCCACGAGCUCUGGGUGCUGGUGGUGGCGGCCCUCCAUGAUGAAUCAACUCUUGUUUCGGUCUCAAGCAACCAAGAGAAAAGUUUAAAACUAGCUUCUGUGUCCACUGUUCUGUCAGGACUAAGAUCUUCAAAUGUAAUGCUUGAUGUCAGUUAUCUGGCUUGUGGUGUGAAGCAUGCUGCACUUAUUACAAGGCAGAAGAGGUAUUUACAUGGGGAGAAGAAUGCAGUGGGCGGCUUGGUCCUGGGGCUGGCACAAGCAUUUUUCAACCACAUCUACUCGAGUCAUUGUCAACCUGCAAUGUUGAAAUAA
This 2214-nucleotide ribosomal RNA is filed under the name Triticum aestivum (bread wheat). Its description in RNAcentral is "partial small subunit ribosomal RNA". Lineage: Eukaryota; Viridiplantae; Streptophyta; Magnoliopsida; Poales; Poaceae. The record is from RNAcentral.